GCCUUCAUAGUAUAGUGGUCAGCACGCUGGGCGCAUAUUCCAGAGGUCCCGUGGUUCGAUUCCCGGCGAAGGCG
Non-coding RNA from Stegodyphus dumicola, 74 nucleotides. NCBI's taxonomy places the organism in Eukaryota, Metazoa, Arthropoda, Arachnida, Araneae, Eresidae. The record is from the annotation of a RefSeq genome assembly.